Monodelphis domestica (gray short-tailed opossum) is the source of this 2695-nucleotide long non-coding RNA. RefSeq lists it as uncharacterized. NCBI's taxonomy places the organism in Eukaryota, Metazoa, Chordata, Mammalia, Didelphimorphia, Didelphidae. The record is from RefSeq and is a predicted model, not a curated record.
GAAACACCAGGAAGCAUGUCUGGAAAAGACUGGAUCUUGAUCCCCUCCCCUACUAUACUUCCUGUGCCCUUUCAACUGUCUCAGAAAUGUUCUUCUCACUGAUGGUAUCCUGUUCUGUGAUUGCUCUCAGACAGCAGUAAAGAGGGACCAAGAUUCAAGCUUUUGUUCUAAGAAGCUGGCUACCUCACAGCUAUGGUGAGCUGCUAUUUGUGUCGUCAUUGAAUCAGAGGACUAGGGGUGACUCCAGAAACUCAAGUCCAACUCCCACUACUUCUAGCUAAGGGGCAAGGGUGAAAAGGUGAGGGAAAUACUGCUCUACUCUUCACUUUAUGAGUCAGGAUUAAUUGAAAGAAUGAAAGAAGUGCUUCAAAGAGAAAGAAAGAAAAAAAAGUCUCAAGAGGCAGAGGAAAAUGCUAAAUUGGGUCAGCAGGUUGAAGGAAAAGGCAGGGAAGAAAGACCAAUGGACAUUUGGAGCAGGGAGGAUGCUUCUUCUUGGUAUCUUUAAAGAGGGAUGAAGAAAAGCCAAGUGCCUAACACCUGCUCACAGUGGGCAUCAUGACAUGCUUUCUCUUGAUACUCACUCCUGAUGAACAAGAAGGUCCUCAAUAUAAUCAACUGGCAAGCUUCUACAUCACAGACAGUGAGAAAAAUGAUGUGUGUCAAAGUGAGAGAGGAAAUGAAUUAAGUCUUUAUCUUCCCUUUGAGUCACUACGACUUUGUGAUAAACAGGUUUUGGUUAAGCAUUUUAAUUAACUGGUUUGUAGAAUAUGAAAAUUAUUUUGGCUGUAGAGAUUGUCAAUACUAAACAAAAAAAAAUAAAAUAUAAAUGCUGUCAUAGAAUAAUCAAGUUUUAGAGAUAAAAAUGACUUUGGAGAUGAGAGAGAUGAACUGACUUGUUCAAGGUCUAAUAAUUAAUAGAAAAUACUGGAUUAAACUCUGAAUCUCUUGACUUUUAAGUCAAUUGCUUCUUUCAUUUUACAUAAAUAAAUAUAUAUGUAUAAAAAUACAUAUAAUUUUGCAAAAGAUAAUAUUUUUAAAAAUCACCCAUACUUACCCAUCCUAUACAAUUCUCAUAAAUGUGUUCACAAAAGUUUGCUGUGGAAGUUUCACCAACAUUCUAGAGGCCUUACCUUCCUUUCUCUCAACAUCACACUCACAUACACACGCACAUAUGUGCAUGCAUUUAAAUAGACAUAUAUAUGUAUAAAUCCUGUAUUUUCCUAAGUGUGAGUAACUCCCAGUGAGGAAAUUUCCUUUUUCAACAUAUUCUUAGCAAUGGCUUUUCACUUUUUAGUGUUAACUGCUUGGCACUGGAAAGAUAACUGACUUGCCUUGAAUUACCCAGAUUCUAUGACAGAUAGUAUUUGAAUCCAGAACUUCAUUAUUCUGAGAACAUUUCUCUAUUGAUUAUACCACACUACCUUUCAUAAAUACACAUGCGCACACACACACAUUUUAGGCAAGCACUGCUGAAAAUAAAGGUCAAGGCCAAUAUCUGAGUAGGAGGAGUUCACAGGGAUUCAUUUUUGGGGAAAUAUAUACAAUUUACAAUGAUCUCAAACCAUUGGAGAAAGCUAAAGAAAUCUGAUUUGGACAGAUUGAGUGUAAUGUUUCUGGAUACCAGUUUGAAAUCUCCAGUAAGCAGUUAAUGAUCUAAGACUAAGGCUCAGGGGAAAGACUAGGGCUGGAUAUAUUUCUGCAAGUUAGUUAAAACCCAUGGAAUCUGAUGAGGUCACUAAGUCAGAGAAUGUAGAAGAGGGCCUCCUGGUUCACUUUAGCUUCCUGUCUCCCCUGAUCUCUUAGGAGACUGAUGAAAUCCCACUUUCUGGAGGAACUUUUACCCCUCACCACCACAAUCCUAACCAGUAAAUUCUCUCUGAGAUUGCCUUUUCAUUAUGUACAUAGUUAUUUACAAGUUAUCGCCCCAUUAAGAUGUAAAUUCCCUCUGAUUCAGGAACUGCAUUCUGUUUUUCUUGGUUAAGUUUGUGUUCAGCACAUAGUAAACACAGAAUAGUUGUAGAUGUACUAACCUGGCUGAAGAAUUCAUCCAUUUACAUGGUACACCUCAAGGUCCAGAAAAUGACAAUGGACUAAAAAGGCAUUUUGGAUCUAAGUAAAUUAUAACAAAGUAGCAACAACUUGCAAGUAAGUGGUACAAAAUCCUACAUCAAGGCACUUAUUAGCAGAAAAGGAAUAGGUUAAUUCAUGUAGCAAAGGAAACCAAAUGUCAGAGUGCCACCCUGAACAAGGGAAGCUUGGGAAGGCUGCCACAAGGUUCUGAGGAUAGUCUGUGAAGGAUUUACAGCCCCAAAUCCCACCUUCUGCAAGAGACUUUUUAUGAUAUCUCCAACUAAGAUUAUCCUCCAUUUUCAUUGUAUAUAAUUUAUAUAGUCAGAGUUGUUAGAACAUGAGUCCCUGGAAAACAGAGACUGUGGCUUUGGCCUACACUGUUGCAAAUAACUGCAACUUUGUAAGUGGAAAACAGAACAAUGAAACAAACCCCUAAAAUCAAAUGUGCUUGAACGGAAGGACCCAACUUGGACCAGGUGUAAGCUCUGGUCCUCUGAAGGAAAACAAAAUUAGUUCUGACUAAAUUUUCAAUAAUGUUAUUCCUUUCAUUCUCUUUUGAAUGUACAUGGGUUUUUACUCUCCUGAUCCAAAAAUAUAAUAAUAGCUAACAUUUAUAUAGCACUUU